RNAcentral lists this ribosomal RNA (250 nucleotides) under uncultured bacterium. RNAcentral describes it as "partial 16S ribosomal RNA". It matches the Rfam family "Bacterial small subunit ribosomal RNA", at positions 355 to 597 of the family's 1533-position model. The record is from RNAcentral.
CUAAGAAUCUUCCGCAAUGGGCGAAAGCCUGACGGAGCGAUGCCGCGUGAUCGAUGAAGGUCGAGAGAUUGUAAAGAUCUUUUCCACAUGAGGAAUAAGUCUGGGAGGGAAUGCCCGGAUGAUGACGUUAGUGUGGGAAUAAGCCCCGGCUAAUUACGUGCCAGCAGCCGCGGUAACACGUAAGGGGCGAGCGUUGUUCGGAAUUAUUGGGCGUAAAGGGCACGCAGGCGGUUAUACAAGUCCGAUGUUA